AUGCUUAGGAAGAUGUUCCAAGGUGGUUCCUCUAAGAAGCAAGGACCCAGGAUUGCUAUGCGUGAUGCUGACGAGGAUCCACCAAGAGACGCUCAAGUACGGCAUUGCGAAUGGCCGUCGGAAAGUUUUAUGGACCGGGCGGGAAUUAAAGAAGAAUUCAAAGCAUAUUUGCGCAAUGCCAGUCUUGAGGAUUUUGAGGCUAACAGGUGCCCCCGGUAUCAUGAUCUCACAAGUUCAUUUGUGAGGAGGUUUGAGUAUUCAUCUUCGCGUAAUUCUCCUUCAGUCAUGUUUGAUCUCUAUGACAAAUCUUAUACCAUGGACUUAGCGGAUUUUACUUCUGCUUGCAAACUUCCAUCAUGGGGUAGUGUUAGGGAUCCCCCUAAAUCUGAAUUUAGAAACUUUCUUGCUAGUAUAACUGUGGGGGAAUCUAGAGAUAUAACGCAAGCUACCAUAGGGAGCAUUCACUUUCCUGCUAUACAUUAUUUUGCUCUCUUCAUCGGUAGAUGCAUAAAUGCUAAGGAUGAAGCAUGUCACAUGUGUGUCCCUGAUCUUAGCAUUCUUAGGAGUGUUGUGUUAGGAGACCAAUCUUAUCAUAUCGGAGCCAUUGUAGCUCGUAGGUUGCAUCAUAAUAGACAUAAUGGAGAUUUCUUUGGAGGAAUUUAUACAACCCGCUUAGCUCAUUUUCUUUAG
Molecule: ribosomal RNA, 690 nt
Filed under: Triticum aestivum (bread wheat)
Lineage: Eukaryota; Viridiplantae; Streptophyta; Magnoliopsida; Poales; Poaceae
Description: partial small subunit ribosomal RNA
Source: RNAcentral